Non-coding RNA from Rhinocladiella mackenziei CBS 650.93, 108 nucleotides. The record is from the annotation of a RefSeq genome assembly. Lineage: Eukaryota; Fungi; Ascomycota; Eurotiomycetes; Chaetothyriales; Herpotrichiellaceae.
GUUCGAGUAGUGUAGUGGUUAUCACGCGUCGUUCACACCACCUUUUAAGGUGAACAAAGGUUGAACAAAGUCCCGACGAGGUCCCCGGUUCGAUCCCGGGCUCGAACA